AGAGUGAACGCUGGCGGCAUGCCUAACACAUGCAAGUCGAACGGUAACAGGCCCGCAAGGGUGCUGACGAGUGGCGGACGGGUGAGGAAUACAUCGGAAUCUGCCCGGUUGUGGGGGAUAACGUAGGGAAACUUACGCUAAUACCGCAUACGACCGAGAGGUGAAAGCGGGGGACUCGCAAGAGCCUCGCGCGAUCGGAUGAGCCGAUGUCGGAUUAGCUAGUUGGCGGGGUAAAGCCCACCAAGGCGACGAUCCGUAGC
RNAcentral lists this ribosomal RNA (260 nucleotides) under uncultured bacterium. RNAcentral's name for it is "partial small subunit ribosomal RNA". It matches the Rfam family "Bacterial small subunit ribosomal RNA", at positions 26 to 287 of the family's 1533-position model. The record is from RNAcentral.